GACGAACGCUGGCGGCGUGCUUAACACAUGCAAGUCGAACGAAAAGGCCCGGCUUUUGUGGGUUGCUCGAGAGGGGAAGGGGGGAGAAAAACGUGAGUAACCUCCCCUUAACUUUGGGAUAACUUCUGGAAACUGGGGCUAUAACCGGGUAGAAUCUCCUGCUGCGUGUGGGGGGUUGGAAAAUUUCGGCGGUUGGGGCUGGACUCGCGGCUUAUGAGCUGCUUGGGGGGGUAGUGGCUUACAAAGCCUUUGACGGGUAGCCGGCCUGAGAGGGUGACCGGCCACAUUGGGACUGAGAUACGGCCCAGACUCCUACGGGAGGCAGCAGUGGGGAAUAUUGCACAAUGGGCGGAAGCCUGAUGCAGCAACGCCGCGUGCGGGAUGACGGCCUUCGGGUUGUAAACCGCUUUCGCCUGUGACGAAGCGUGAGUGACGGUAAUGGGUAAAGAAGCACCGGCUAACUACGUG
RNAcentral lists this ribosomal RNA (468 nucleotides) under uncultured bacterium. RNAcentral's name for it is "partial 16S ribosomal RNA". It matches the Rfam family "Bacterial small subunit ribosomal RNA", at positions 28 to 507 of the family's 1533-position model. The record is from RNAcentral.